This is a long non-coding RNA of Hemicordylus capensis (graceful crag lizard), 4298 nucleotides long. RefSeq lists it as uncharacterized. The transcript is spliced from 2 exons. The record is from RefSeq and is a predicted model, not a curated record. NCBI's taxonomy places the organism in Eukaryota, Metazoa, Chordata, Lepidosauria, Squamata, Cordylidae.
GGAAUGCCUGUCACGCCUAGAGGGACCCGCCCCUUUUUCCUUUUCUUUGCUCGGCCUUCCCUCCUUUCCAGUUGCCUGACGCUGGUUGGACUCUCUUUACUUGGUUGAUCAAAGGAGAAGGCGGUGUGCCCACAGUUUGAAACAACGAAUAUAAAGCAGAGUAGAAACAACAAUUUCACAGAAUAAGAAGUUACAUGGAUCGUCCCCGCCACCAUAGCUGGGCCCUGUCAGCAGCAAGUUUUCCUGCAAAAAGAAAAGAAAAAGUAAAAAAGAUCUCUAGGUGUCUUCUUGUGGCCUGCUGAAGAUUCACACAUCGUUGAUUUUAUGCUAAGUGUCUUUUGGCACUUUCAAGACCAACACAUUUAUUUUAUAAUAAUCUUUUAUGGCUAAGAGCCCACCAUCAGACACAAGAAGUACGGUAUAGGCUCUGGACUACGGAAGUUUAUGAUAAAAUGAACGCGUCAGCUUUCAGUGGCCACAAUAUUCUGUUGUAGCAAAGCCAAGAUUGACAUGGUUCCCCUACUAGAAGUAGCUUUUCUUCAGGGAGGCUAGCUGACAUCCUAACUAAAUUUACUAGAAAGGAAGUCUUUCUGAAAUUCAAUAGUUUUUCAGACUGCUCCCUGAAUAAUACCAUUCAAUAUGUUAGUCUGGAUGUCAGCUUGUUAAUAAGUGAUUCACAAGUAAUAAUAGGCGAUAUCAUUAUUAGGACAGGUCACAAAAAAGUGUGCAAUCUUUCAAGCUCAUCAGAACUUUUCAUCAAAAAUGGUGGAUGAAAAGGAUACUGCUCAGUAAGAUUUUCUUUUUUUUAAUUCCAAUCUGUAGUUUGUAAUAACUUCAAAAUAGAAUUGAGGAGUAAAGUUUUUAACACAGAUUUGACAUGAUCCUAAAUAUAUUUACCCAGAAGUAAAUCCCACUGAGGUCAACGGCAUUUACUCUGUAGUAAGUGUGUUUAAGAAUGCAGCCUUAAUUAAUUUUUUGCGUUGCGUGGUGCAAAAAAUCUUGGAGAAGAGAAGCAUGGCUACUGCUAUUUCAAAAAGUUAGUAGUUAUGUGGUUCUCUUUGGCCACAUUCGCAUGCAAUGCGGGACUGUGGGACCCACAGUUCUACUACCCUUCCCCUCUGCUCUCCUGUCCUCAUUCACACUUAACAGACAGGAGGCUCUCUGCAUUCAGGGAGACGGCAGAGAGGAGAGGGCAGGGGCAUAGCAAGACCCCCUGGGGCCAGAGGACAAAACCCAGGUCGGAGGCCCCCAAUGUGCAUGUAAAGCGUGAGUGUGCUCCCACACCGCCUGCUACACCCCCUGUGUCUGGCAUCAGACGCAAGGGACAGGACAGCCAACAUCUCCCCGCCGUCACCUCUGCCCUGCCCAGCCACCACUACCUUCUAGGCCUCCGGCUCUGGGGGGUAGGGGGUGAUCCGAGUGGGACAGGUAGCGGGUGCAGCAUCAGGCCUCUCCACUCUGGGUGAACUGCGCAGGCGCGCAGUUUAGUCAGAGUGGGGAGGCCUGUGCCUGCCAUGUGUUCCGCUCAAUCACCACCCACCCUCCAGAGCCGGAGGCCAAGAUAAGAAGUGGGGGCAGGGCAGAGGCGGCGGUGGGGCAGUCUCCUUGCAGGCCCUCUGACCCAUUGGGCCCAAGGACAUUUGUCCCUGCUUGUCCAAUAGAUGCUAUGCCCCUGGGAGGGAGAACUGGCUGCAUGGGCUUUCUUCUUGACUGAAAGACAGCUCCAGCAGGCAAUCGCAGCUGGAGCGAGGGAGCAGCUUCCUCCCUUAACUCCGGUUGUAGCAGAGUGGGAAUGGUUAAGCAUUUACACAUAACGCUGGCACUGUUAAACUGCAGGUAGGGACGGCGGAACCCCCUACAAACCAAAGGUUCGAAUUGGCGUGUUGGGAGGAAAACCUUGGGUUGCUUUUGGGUCCAAACUCUGGUCGCACACAUUCGGACAUACAAAAAUUUCAGCCGGAAGCCCCUUCAACUCCGGUUUUGUGUUACAUGCGAAUGGGGCUUCUUUGUUUCAAAAGAAAUAGCUGCCAUAUUUCCUUGUAGCUUUUUGUGGCUGCUGAGAUCUUUUUGCACUAAACAUAGCCUAACCAAAUUAAGGCUGUAACAGGGAUAGCCCAAAUUAAUUGGAUGCUGCAGGCAGUGCUUCUGUAUGCUACCCUCUGCCAAACACUGCAGCAGUGCCUGCCCCCCUCCCACUGGUCUUGUUCCUGCCAAAUGCCAUGUUAGCCCCUGCACCAAAUACUGGCUUCCUUCCUCCCCCUCCCCCUCUUGCAGGGAUGUAGUUUUCCUCACUACUCUCCUCUCUUCCACUGCCUCCCCAAAAGGAGAAGCCUAUGUGGGUGACCAAUCAGUAUUUGGCAUGAGGGGAGGUAUUUGGCAUGAGGGGAGGGCUGUGGGCCACCUCCAGCCUCAAGGGUGUGCCUCUGAGUACCAGUUGCAGGGGAGCAAUGGCAGGAGAGAGGGCACGCCCUCAACUCCUGCCUGUGGCUUCCAGCGGCAUCUGGUGGGCCACUGUGCGAAACAGGAUGCUGGACUAGAUGGGCCUUGAGCCUGAUCCAGCAGGGCUGUUCUUAUGUAUGUGUGAGAUGGGGUGUCUCUAGGGUAAGUGUGCAGAGGUUCAUUUCCCCACACACACACGUUGAAGUCUGCUGCCUAUGUGCUUAAUGGAAGGGCUAACCUUGGGCUGCAAUCCUAAACACACUAGGAAGUGAGCACUUCUAAGUAUUGCAUGUGAUUGUGCAAGAAGGGCAAAAACCUAAGCACACUAGGAAAUGGGCCCCAUUGAACUCAAUGGAGUUUACUUCUGAGUAAACAUACUUAGGAUUUCACCAUCCAUUUGGAUGACACCUUCCCCAUUCCAUUUUAAGACAGCAGACUAGAGGUUUUGCAUUUUGUCCAGCAACUUCCUUCUCUUUUGUCCUCACCCCCACCCCCACUUUUGUGGUUUUUACUUAACAUAUAGCCUUAUGAAGAAUUUUAAUGAACUUAAAAUUUUUGUUCUUUGUGACCUUUUGGCAGUCUUAAUAAACCUUAUUACCCUACUGUUAUUUUGGAAUUUUAAAUCCCCCCCACCUUUUCUUUUUAGCUUGAAAAGUGAUGGAUGCAAAGCUUGUGCAAGUUACAGCCUCUAUUUCAAGCUAAUUCACCGCAUAGGGUUGUUGUUGCAAAGCUAAGAUAGUAAUGCUAACCAUAUUUGCUUGAAUAUUUUUUAUUUAUUUCAGUGUGGGUUGCUUCCAUAAAGCUAUGCUUGGACUGCAGUCCCAAAAUCUUCAUUGUAAAAAUAAUAUGCCUCGCUGGAUCAGACUAGUUCAGAGUUCUGGACUAGUCCAUCUAGUCCAGAGUUCUGUCUCUCAACAAUGGUAAUCUGGAUGUCUCCAAGGAAACUUACAAGGAGAGCAUGAUGGUGACAGCCUUUCCCUGCUCGGUCCCAACAUCUUGUAAUUAAAGGUAUAUUGCGUCUAAAUAUUGAAGUUUCCUUUGACUGCCAUGUUUGAGUGUGCCAUAGACAGAGUAGGGUGAAAGGUGGAUUUUCCCAGUGUGCAGCUCUUGAGCAGGGGGACAGCAAGGGCUGAGGAAGAAAAGAAAUGUGAGCAUCUGGCUGUGAAGGGAGUUAAACAUGUCAUGUGUUUCUUCAGGCCUGAUAAAAGGCAUUUUUCUAUUGUUUGAAAUAAUAAAAUUUUAAAAAAUGUCUUUGAAUAUUCAUAUGUGGAAGACAUCCAUAAUGAACUGUUCUAGGACUAUCAUUUUUGCUCAGAAAUGGAAGAUGUGCAGGUCUUUUUUUAAAUCAAUAUUUUUUAAAAUUUAAUAACAUUUACUAAGCAUCAAACAAAUGGAUCAGAGAACAAAUCAAUCCAGAAUUUUCACCUGAGGCACAAAUGACCAGGCUCAAACUAUCAUACUUUGGACACAUUAUGCGAAGAUCCAGCUCCCUUGAGAAGUCCAUAACGCUGGGGAAAGUUGAAGGAAAGAGAAGAAGAGGACGACCAGCAGCAAGGUAGAUGGACUUGAUUACGACAGCAGUGAAUGCACCACUGAGAGACCUUAAAGACCAAGAUGAAGACAGAUCAUCCUGGAGAAAAUCUAUCUAUAUGGUUGUUAAGAGUCAGCACCAACUUGACGGCACUUAAUCAAUCAGUCAAGCAUCAACAUAAUUACAAGUCACACAAGAAGAGUUCUCAUACAUCUUCCCCCAAAAAGAAUAAAACAAUAAGCUUUAAAUAAUAGAAAACAUUUAGUAUAAAUCUGAUCAUUAACCUUCUUAUUCCAGUUAUUGAUAAAUAAAACCCAUUUUUAAUAAA